RNAcentral lists this ribosomal RNA (292 nucleotides) under uncultured bacterium. RNAcentral describes it as "partial 16S ribosomal RNA". The record is from RNAcentral.
GGACUACAAGGGUAUCUAAUCCUGUUUGCUCCCCACGCUGUCGCGCAUCAGUGUCAGCCACUGCCCAGCAGGCCGCCUUCGCCACCGGUGUUCUUCCGGAUCUCUACGCAUUCCACCGCUACACCCGGAAUUCCGCCUGCCUCUACAGUGCUCAAGCCCAGCAGUAUCCACGGCCGACGCGGAGUUGAGCCCCGCGCUUUCACCACAGACUGACCAGGCCACCUACGCGCCCUUUACGCCCAAUGAUUCCGGACAACGCUCGCACCCUCCGUAUUACCGCGGCUGCUGGCAC